Long non-coding RNA from Gasterosteus aculeatus aculeatus (three-spined stickleback), 489 nucleotides. NCBI's taxonomy places the organism in Eukaryota, Metazoa, Chordata, Actinopteri, Perciformes, Gasterosteidae. The record is from Ensembl.
GUAAAGAUCACUAGCGAGACCACUUCUGCUUGGUUCAUGAACGAUGAGCCAAUUUCCUGAACCCUUUUGAAAUACUUGUCAAAGGUGAACCUGAUUUGGCCGACGAUCUACAUGCUGUUCUGGACCUUCCUCUUGGUCUUCUCCGCGUACUCCGAGCCUGUCGUCUCCUGUACUGGUGUGGCUGUCAUGUUGACUGGUGUCCCUGUAUAUUUCCUGGGAGUACUCGGAAAACAAGCCCAAGUGUUGUGAUAUUACCAUUGGUAAGGGGAUGUUCUGGUGUCUCCCAUUAAAGAAAGUGUUAAUGGAACUCUGAGAUGGAUACCAAUGUGGCCUGCCCCUUCAAAGUAAAUGCAGAGGUUGACUGGAUACACAGAUGUUCGUGUAUUUGGUCAACUGGCUUUACUUGUAAUUAGGUAGUUUUAAAAUACAAUGAAAAGAUAUCUUUGACAAAGGUGUAAUAAAGCGGCAAGAUUUGUUAAAAAGUCAAAA